Molecule: ribosomal RNA, 254 nt
Filed under: uncultured bacterium
Lineage: Bacteria
Description: partial 16S ribosomal RNA
Rfam family: Bacterial small subunit ribosomal RNA
Source: RNAcentral
UACGGAGGGUGCGAGCGUUGUCCGGAAUCAUUGGGCGUAAAGGGCGCGUAGGUGGCCCGGUCAGUUCGUGGUGAAAGCGCGGGGCUCAACCCUGCGUCGGCCAUGAAUACUGCCGCGGCUGGAGCACUGUAGAGGCAGGCGGAAUUCCGGGUGUAGCGGUGGAAUGCGUAGAGAUCCGGAAGAACACCGGUGGCGAAGGCGGCGUCCUGGCUCACAACUGACGCUCAGACACGACAGCAUGGGGAGCGAACGGG